RNAcentral lists this ribosomal RNA (407 nucleotides) under uncultured bacterium. Its description in RNAcentral is "bacterial SSU rRNA". It matches the Rfam family "Bacterial small subunit ribosomal RNA", at positions 29 to 479 of the family's 1533-position model. The record is from RNAcentral.
AACGAACGCUGGCGGCAUGCCUAACACAUGCAAGUCGAACGAGACCUUCGGGUCUAGUGGCGCACGGGUGCGUAACGCGUGGGAACCUGCCUUUAGGUUCGGAAUAACUCAGAGAAAUUUGAGCUAAUACCGGAUAAUGUCUUCGGACCAAAGAUUUAUCGCCUUUAGAUGGGCCCGCGUUGGAUUAGCUAGUUGGUGGGGUAAAGGCCUACCAAGGCGACGAUCCAUAGCUGGUCUGAGAGGAUGAUCAGCCACACUGGGACUGAGACACGGCCCAGACUCCUACGGGAGGCAGCAGUGGGGAAUAUUGGACAAUGGGCGAAAGCCUGAUCCAGCAAUGCCGNGUGAGUGAUGAAGGCCUUAGGUUGUAAAGACUCUUUUACCCGAGAAUGAUAAAUGACAGUAUC